RNAcentral lists this transfer RNA (73 nucleotides) under Candidatus Doudnaibacteriota bacterium. Its description in RNAcentral is "Candidatus Doudnabacteria bacterium tRNA-Val". It matches the Rfam family "tRNA". From Rfam's summary of the family: Transfer RNA (tRNA) molecules are approximately 80 nucleotides in length. Their secondary structure includes four short double-helical elements and three loops (D, anti-codon, and T loops). The record is from RNAcentral. Lineage: Bacteria; Candidatus Doudnaibacteriota.
GGGCAUUUAGCUCAGUUGGUAGAGCGCUCCCUUGACGUGGGAAAGGUCGCAGGUUCGAACCCUGCAGUGCCCA